This 494-nucleotide ribosomal RNA is filed under the name uncultured bacterium. RNAcentral describes it as "partial 16S ribosomal RNA". It matches the Rfam family "Bacterial small subunit ribosomal RNA", at positions 28 to 523 of the family's 1533-position model. The record is from RNAcentral.
GAUGAACGCUGGCGGCGUGCUUAACACAUGCAAGUCGAACGGGAAAUACUUUAUUGAAACUUCGGUGGAUUUAAUUUAUUUCUAGUGGCGGACGGGUGAGUAACGCGUGGGUAACCUGCCUUAUACUGGGGGAUAACAGCCAGAAAUGACUGCUAAUACCGCAUAAGCGCACAGGACCGCAUGGUUCGGUGUGAAAAACUCCGGUGGUAUAAGAUGGACCCGCGUUGGAUUAGCUAGUUGGCAGGGCAGCGGCCUACCAAGGCGACGAUCCAUAGCCGGCCUGAGAGGGUGAACGGCCACAUAGGGACUGAGACACGGCCCAGACUCCUACGGGAGGCAGCAGUGGGGAAUAUUGCACAAUGGGGGAAACCCUGAUGCAGCGACGCCGCGUGAAGGAAGAAGUAUCUCGGUAUGUAAACUUCUAUCAGCAGGGAAGAUAAUGACGGUACCUGACUAAGAAGCCCCGGCUAACUACGUGCCAGCCGCCGCAGUAA